AAAAUUUAAAAUUUUUAUUAAUAAUAUAAUAAUUAUAUUUAUAUUUAAAUAUUUUUACAAAUAAUUUUUUUGUCCUUUUUCCCUUGGUUCUUUUAUUUUUCUCUGCCAUCCCCUUUCCUGUCACCGCUGAAAAGAGGAGUGCGACCGCCACAAGGAGCUGCCGCCGUUGUCAUCUUCGCGGGCUGCCUUUUCGUGCGCCGUUUUUGCUGUCUUUCAUCCGUGUCUUGCCGUCGUCGUCUGUGGAGUCUCCAGGCCGUCGCCGUUCGCCGUUUUCAGUGUCGCCACGAAGUCAAGAACGAGCGAAAGGCAGAGAGAUCCAUCAUUGUCGAUGCUGUUCAGUGGAGGAGGAAGAACCGCAACGAGGAAGGGGAGCAGGAGCCAUCGCGGUGGUCGUCGUCACCGUGGUUGAAUAGUAGUGGUUAGAGUCGUCGCUGAUGGAGUCUGUCGAAGCUUCUAUCUGAGAAAAUAAUAAUCGGUUCUAAUAUAUGUUGAUGGUGCAGUGGUAAAUGUGAUGAUAGCAAUGGUUGUUGUGAGAAGAAAAUGUGAGAAGAGGAAGAAGAUGAAGAUAUUUAUGUAGUGGAAAAGUUUAGGAGUCAUCAACUUUAUUAAAUUCUGGCCAAUAUAGAACUGGCAAAAGAAAAAAUGAGUAACUCCACACCAUUGGAUGAAAUCUCACACCAUUAAAAAUAUUAUUGAUGACUACUUAAUAGUUACAAAUCACAAAAAUUACUGGUCUUAGUACUCCUCUUAUGUAAUUUAUUAUUUUAUUUUAUAAAUUUUUUUAUUUAAACUACUAAAAGUCUAAAUAUACUUUUUCCACUAAGACACAUCCCUGAAACAAAUGAUAGAAGUCAUUGCAUUACUUUUAUACUGUUUCCUUUCUAGGUGGGUUGACAUUUGACAGGAGUGAUUUAUUUCUGUUUUUGGUAUGUCACUGUUGUUUUGGAAAUGUGUUUUUUUGGUCGUGUUGUUUUAGAAAUUUAAUCGAAGAUUGUUGUUUUACUUUUCUUUUUUGGGUCUUGGUUUUUUGGUUUAUAGAGGGGCCAAAGGCCCAUUCUUUUUUGGGUCUUUGCCCGAAGGCUACUGGCUCUAUGGAUCAGAGAGACCCAAUCUACAAGUACAAGCACUAACAUAACAUAAAUUCCAUUAAGCCCAUGCUUGCUUGCAAAUAUCCCUUCCCCUUCCGCCUACCUUAUUGUGUAUCAUUAACUACCCAGCAUCCAACAUCAACCUCACCUCCCUUGGCAAAUUAGAGGCCCAUCCAGUGUCCAAAGCCCCUGUAUUUUCCAAUUUUGCAACGGUGUUAGAUAUUUUGGGUCUACAUGUGGGCUUUGCUCCAUUGUUUCGUUGGGUACGUGGGCUUGCAUGUUCCGACGCAAUCCUAGCCCAAUUAGAAUUUGACAGGAUGAAAAAAAUUUAAAAGAAGAAUACCUACCGUUUUGAAACACAUGGAUAACUGGGUAAUAUGUUUCAAAAUCGUGACAAUUUGAUAAUUAGUUCUGAAAAUAGUAGUAAAUUGAUUAUAAAAGUCAUUAUUUUUAGAAUGGGAUGAUUAAAUUUGAAAUGGAUUUGAAUUGGAUAAAUUAUUGUGUUUGAAAUUAAUUAUAUAAAAUAGAAACUAAUUUGAAUUAAAAGUUGAUAUACUGAUUUGAUUUAUAUUAUUAUCUAUUUUUUACCAUACAAUUUUUUUUUUAUCACCAUCAACGAUUGUAGUUGGCUAGGGACGAUGGCAUCGGCUCACGAUUUGCCGAUGCUUAUAGCCAAGGUCAGUUAGGUUCUCGGCGCAAUUAAUCGGCGACACCUGACAACCUUUUUUUCUAAACCCUUAUUUUUUUAUAUAAAUACCUAAAAUGUAAAAAUAAUUUUUUUUAUAUUUUUAACACAUCAAAUUAAUUUUAUUCCGAAAAAGAAUUUUAUUUUUGUCCACCGUCAGAUUUAAAAAAAAAUGUAGUUUCAUUGAGUUCGUGUUUCUUCCUUUCUUUUGGUCUAGGUAGUUUGCAGAGGAGUGAUUAAUUCUUUUUCGUGAACGAAUUUGUGCAAUAAAUUAAGUAAAAUGAAAUGUAGUUGUUCCUAGCUUGGGUUACCAAUUUGGCAAUUAUGACAUGUAAUUUAAAUACAAUAUAUCAAAUAGUUUCAUUAUAAAGGAGUGCUAAGGACAUUAAAAUUUAUAAUUUGUAAUUAUUAAUUAAUUAUUAUUAAUAUUUUUAAUAGUAUAAUUUUUUUUUGAAAUAAAAAGCUCAACAUAAUAAGGUGGAGCAUCAACGUCUCAACAGAAAAGUAUUAAACAGAUAAAAUAAACUAAUUCCUAAUCAUCUUCGACAAAAACCGUCAACAACCCAAAAUAUCAAAUAUCACUCCACUCUUUAUAACUUUUAAUCGACCUGUUAACUACUCCUGCAAUAUUUAAUUCUUGAUUUCUGAAAAUUGUGUCAUUUCUUUUAUUUAAUAAUACAAAAUUAUUUAUUUUUUUAUUGAUUAAAUACUGACUAAAUUUUAAUAAAAAUACUGAUUUCUUAGACUUAAUAAAAAUGUUUGAUUUCUAAACUUUCUCCGAAAGAAAAAGGGAGGGGGUGGAAUUGAAAAUCUUGAAUGUUCCUUCUUAAAUCACAGAGACUACACACUACAGCACCAUAUAUGUGAGAGAGAAGAAGAAAGAUCAGAAAACUAGGAAAGAGAAAAAAUAAAAAAUAGUCUAUAAGUAUAUAUCCGAAGAAAAUGAUAAUUAAGAAGUGAGAGAUUAUAAAGAGAUGAGAUGACCUUAGUUUAUAUGAUGGGCAGAUUGAUCAUGUCAUCUAAAAUCUGAAAACCUUAACCUCUUUUGCAAGUUGGGGAGGGACUCUUAAUCUCUCAAGGGAAAUUCCACUCUGCUUUGCCAUGCUUUUUCUUUCACCUAUAUCACCAAGCACCGUACUGUGACUUGUGAGCAUCUCCAUGGUC
RNAcentral lists this long non-coding RNA (2937 nucleotides) under Arachis ipaensis. RNAcentral's name for it is "long non-coding RNA (AIPA_LNC001132)". The record is from RNAcentral. Lineage: Eukaryota; Viridiplantae; Streptophyta; Magnoliopsida; Fabales; Fabaceae.